CUGAUGAUAACUCAAGAACACUUAUGCCUAGGAUCAUGAAACUUGAUAGGUAGAUUGAUCAGGACUCGCAGAUGACCCCUAUUGAUUUUCAGGUCACUAGGUCAAAUGUCAAGGUCACGGUGACCCGAAAUAGUAAAAUGGUUUCCGAAUGAUAACUCAAGAACCCUUAUGCCUAGAAUCAUGAAACUUCAUAGGUAGAUUGAUAAUGACUGGCAGAUGACCCCUAUUGAUUUUCAGGUCACUAGGUCAAAGGUCAAGGUCACGGUGACCCGAAAUAGUAAAAUGGUUUCCGGAUGAUGACUCAAUAACGCUUAUGCCUAGGAUCAUGAAACUUGAUAGGUAGAUUGAUCAUGACUCGCAGUUGACCCCUAUUGAUUU
This is a long non-coding RNA of Dreissena polymorpha, 378 nucleotides long. RefSeq lists it as uncharacterized. The transcript has 2 exons. The record is from RefSeq and is a predicted model, not a curated record. NCBI's taxonomy places the organism in Eukaryota, Metazoa, Mollusca, Bivalvia, Myida, Dreissenidae.